AAGACUAUACUUUUAGGGACCAUUCCUAUAGGAAGUUACUAGAGAAGUUUCUCUGAUCAUGUAGAAUACCCGAAACCAUGAGGAGGAGCCAGAGCAUCCUCUCCUGAGCAUGAAGCCGCUUCUAGGUGUUGCUUCUGCAACUGCCUUUUGCCACUGAUAAUUGUUCUUCCCUUCUUUUAGAAGGGUUAGAGAGGGAUAAGGAUACAGUCUGAAUGGU
This is a small nucleolar RNA of Suncus etruscus (white-toothed pygmy shrew), 217 nucleotides long. RefSeq annotates it as small nucleolar RNA U3. Lineage: Eukaryota; Metazoa; Chordata; Mammalia; Eulipotyphla; Soricidae. The record is from RefSeq and is a predicted model, not a curated record. The transcript has a single exon.